UGUAGGCUUUGGAAACUGUUUAACUUGAGUGCAGAAGGGGAGAGUGGAAUUCCAUGUGUAGCGGUGAAAUGCGUAGAUAUAUGGAGGAACACCGGUGGCGAAAGCGGCUCUCUGGUCUGUAACUGACGCUGAGGCUCGAAAGCGUGGGGAGCGAACAGGAUUAGAUACCCUGGUAGUCCACGCCGUAAACGAUGAGUGCUAGGUGUUAGGUCCUUUCCGGGACUUAGUGCCGCAGCUAACGCAUUAAGCACUCCGCCUGGGGAGUACGACCGCAAGGUUGAAACUCAAAGGAAUUGACGGGGGCCCGCACAAGCGGUGGAGCAUGUGGUUUAAUUCGAAGCAACGCGAAGAACCUUACCAGGUCUUGACAUCCCGAUGCUAUUUCUAGAGAUAGGAAGUUUCUUCGGAACAUCGGUGACAGGUGGUGCAUGGUUGUCGUCAGCUCGUGUCGUGAGAUGUUGGGUUNNNNNNCGCAACGAGCGCAACCCUUAUUGUUAGUUGCCAUCAUUGAGUUGGGCACUCUAGCGAGACUGCCGGUAAUAAACCGGAGGAAGGUGGGGAUGACGUCAAAUCAUCAUGUCCCUUAUGACCUGGGCUACACACGUGCUACAAUGGCUGGUACAACGAGUCGCAAGCCGGUGACGGCAAGCUAAUCUCUGAAAGCCAGUCUCAGUUCGGAUUGUAGGCUGCAACUCGCCUACAUGAAGUCGGAAUCGCUAGUAAUCGCGGAUCAGCACGCCGCGGUGAAUACGUUCCCGGGCCU
This 763-nucleotide ribosomal RNA is filed under the name uncultured bacterium. Its description in RNAcentral is "bacterial SSU rRNA". It matches the Rfam family "Bacterial small subunit ribosomal RNA", at positions 618 to 1381 of the family's 1533-position model. The record is from RNAcentral.